RNAcentral lists this ribosomal RNA (229 nucleotides) under uncultured bacterium. Its description in RNAcentral is "partial 16S ribosomal RNA". It matches the Rfam family "Bacterial small subunit ribosomal RNA", at positions 524 to 752 of the family's 1533-position model. The record is from RNAcentral.
UACGAAGGGGGCUAGCGUUGUUCGGAAUUACUGGGCGUAAAGGGCGCGUAGGCUGUGCUGUAAGUCAGGCGUGAAAUCCCCGGGCUCAACCUGGGAAUUGCGUUUGAUACUGCGGCGCUGGAAUGCAGGAGAGGAUGGCGGAAUUCCCAGUGUAGAGGUGAAAUUCGUAGAUAUUGGGAAGAACACCGGUGGCGAAGGCGGCACUCUGGCCUGUAAUUGACGCUGACGG